AUGGAAAAAGCGAAAGGUAUUUUACGGUCUCUUUUGCGUUCUUCUUCUGUUACUUGCAUAUUUUCUGUGGUAUCAUUCAAGUCAUCUACUGAUGUCUUCCUUGGGUUUCUCUCAAAAGCGAAAGGUAAAAACAACAUGAUAGCAAACGAGUAUGGAAAAAGCACAAUCAUUUUACCUUCUAUAUUUUUAUCUGCAAUUACAUCAGACGUGCCCGUAGCUUUAGGAGGAUAUGUUGAUUCAUUAUGCGGGAUUGAUGUAUCAACCGAGCUAGCUGGGUCAUCUAAUAUAACAUGCUUGGUUAGUAUUUAUUAA
RNAcentral lists this ribosomal RNA (312 nucleotides) under Triticum aestivum (bread wheat). RNAcentral's name for it is "partial small subunit ribosomal RNA". Lineage: Eukaryota; Viridiplantae; Streptophyta; Magnoliopsida; Poales; Poaceae. The record is from RNAcentral.